GCAGGUCGAGCGGACUUAUGGGAGCUUGCUCCCAUAAGUUAGCGGCGGACGGGUGAGUAACACGUGGGCAACCUGCCUGUAAGACUGGGAUAACUUCGGGAAACCGGAGCUAAUACCGGAUAACUCUUUCCCUCACAUGAGGGAAAGCUGAAAGAUGGUUUCGGCUAUCACUUACAGAUGGGCCCGCGGCGCAUUAGCUAGUUGGUGAGGUAACGGCUCACCAAGGCAACGAUGCGUAGCCGACCUGAGAGGGUGAUCGGCCACACUGGGACUGAGACACGGCCCAGACUCCUACGGGAGGCAGCAGUAGGGAAUCUUCCGCAAUGGACGAAAGUCUGACGGAGCAACGCCGCGUGAGUGAUGAAGGUUUUCGGAUCGUAAAACUCUGUUGUCAGGGAAGAACAAGUAUCGGAGUAACUGCCGGUACCUUGACGGUACCUGACCAGAAAGCCACGGCUAACUACGUGCCAGCAGCCGCGGUAAUACGUAGGUGGCAAGCGUUGUCCGGAAUUAUUGGGCGUAAAGCGCGCGCAGGCGGUUUCUUAAGUCUGAUGUGAAAGCCCACGGCUCAACCGUGGAGGGUCAUUGGAAACUGGGAAACUUGAGUGCAGAAGAGGAGAGUGGAAUUCCACGUGUAGCGGUGAAAUGCGUAGAGAUGUGGAGGAACACCAGUGGCGAAGGCGACUCUCUGGUCUGUAACUGACGCUGAGGCGCGAAAGCGUGGGUAGCGAACAGGAUUAGAUACCCUGGUAGUCCACGCCGUAAACGAUGAGUGCUAAGUGUUAGAGGGUUUCCGCCCUUUAGUGCUGCAGCAAACGCAUUAAGCACUCCGCCUGGGGAGUACGGCCGCAAGGUGAACUCAGA
Molecule: ribosomal RNA, 864 nt
Filed under: Cytobacillus oceanisediminis
Lineage: Bacteria; Bacillati; Bacillota; Bacilli; Caryophanales; Bacillaceae
Description: bacterial SSU rRNA
Rfam family: Bacterial small subunit ribosomal RNA
Source: RNAcentral